CGGGGCAAGGGCGAGGUGGUGGAGAUCCCAUCCCGAGUGCAUGGGUCCCUGGAGCCCUUCUGCCCCUCCCAGGCCCCGCUCGGUGGCAGCCAGGACCCCGCUGGGCCCUCCGCCUCCAUCCCCAAGCUGAAGCUGACACGUCCCGGGCCCCCUGGCACCAACCUGCCACCCCCCAAGAUCCGCUUGAAGCCCCACCCCCGGGGCUCUGGGGAGCAGGAGCCCGUCUACAGGGCCGAGCUGGUGGAGGCACUCAACGGCCAUGGGCGAGGCCCCCGGGCCGGCUCACCCGCUCUCCUCGGCCACAGCUCUGCCGGCAGCGGGCUGGUGGACUCUUCUUCCGGAAGCUCUGGCGAGGAUGAGGACUUCAAACGGUGUCCCCAGGGUCAACGCGGGCGAGAGAGCCUGGCUUUCCUCACCUCCUGCCCUGGGAGGGGGACGGAUUGUCCCCGUGAGUCAGUGUGGAGCAGCGACAGCCUGGAUGAGGCCAAAUCGUCCAGCUCGGAAGUCACAUCCCCAGACACGUGUGACCUCUCGUCGGGCGACGGUGCGUCUGUGCGGCCCUCGUCCAAGGACGCGUCCCGCCGCUCACGGUCAGGCUGCACACACAGAGCGUCUCCAAGUGCGUGACCGAGGAUGGAAGGACGGUGGCCGUAGGGGACAUCGUGUGGGGAACGUGCUGAGAAGGGACGAGGGCCCCCCAGCGAGCAUCUGGCGAGGAAGCUGA
Molecule: long non-coding RNA, 724 nt
Filed under: Ursus maritimus (polar bear)
Lineage: Eukaryota; Metazoa; Chordata; Mammalia; Carnivora; Ursidae
Description: lncRNA (ENSUMAG00000010004.1)
Source: RNAcentral